This 562-nucleotide long non-coding RNA is filed under the name Rattus norvegicus (Norway rat). RNAcentral describes it as "long non-coding RNA NONRATT025972". Lineage: Eukaryota; Metazoa; Chordata; Mammalia; Rodentia; Muridae. The record is from RNAcentral.
AACGUAGGCCAUUCUAGAUGAUUCCGGCAGGGGAGAGACCUCAAUGCCAAGAUGCGGAACCCCUAUCUUCCAAAGGCCAUUCUGGAUUCGAUAUUGAUGUCUCCACAAUGUACAAAUGACCAGAUGCAGCCUAAGUUUUAUAAACAGGCUCCACUCCCUCAGAGAUUCAGAAAGGAAAGAUUCAGGAACAAGUGUAAGAAUAUUCUGGCUGUUUCUGGUAGGAAAUUCUCCUCCUCUGUUAAGUGUCUUAAAACUGGGGUUCCCCGGACCUGUAUGUUCCCCAGAAACUGUAUGUGAUUGUGUGGGGUCACCUGAAGCUGCUGCCUACAGGGAUGGGACAGCCUGAGGAGGCUGAAGUAAUCCCACAGGCACGUUAGCAGACUCUGGCUGUUGCUUAAGAGAAGCCUGGUCUAUCCCGGAAGUCGGAGCUGGCUCCAGAGACCUGAGUUGUCAUGGCUGAGAAUGGCCUUCAGCAAAGCCCAGGGCAGCCAGCCACCUGCUGCAGCUCUGUGGCCUCUUCUUGCCCUGCUGAUGCCCUGUGAAAUAAAUGUGGAACCCUCAC